UCCUACUUUCGCAGGCAGUCUUGCCAGAGUGCCCCUAAUGGGUAGCAACUGACAACAGGAGUUGCGCUCGUUAAAGGACUUAACCUAACAUCUCACGACACGAGCUGACGACAGCCAUGCAGCACCUGUGUAUAUGCUUGAGUAAACAAGAGACCGUGUUUCUACGGCUGUCAUAUACAUGUCAAACCCAGGUAAGGUUCCUCGCGUAGUAUCGAAUUAAACCACAUGUUCCACCGCUUGUGCGGACCCCCGUCAAUUUCUUUAAGUUUUAAUCUUGCGACCGUACUCCUCAGGUGGAUCACUUAUCGCGUUAGCUGCGACACUCAGCCCAAAUGGCCGAACGUCUAGUGAUCAUCGUUUACAGCGUGGACUAC
This 374-nucleotide unclassified non-coding RNA is filed under the name uncultured bacterium. RNAcentral's name for it is "contains 16S-23S intergenic spacer region". The record is from RNAcentral.